AUGUACUCCUUUAGUCUAAUUCCGCUUGUGCUUUGCAUCGCCAUACAAGUUGGUGGUGUAAAAUAUUGCUAUGAAAAACAUUGUGUUAACUGUGAUACGAAAAUCGACAUCAAGCAAUGUCCAGAUAUACAUUCUCUUUGUGCUUCCAACUUUUUUACAGAUUCGAUUGGGAAUACUGAACGAGUUAAAACAUGCGUCACUCCUGACAGUUUAACUUUUUGGUUACAUCGUUGUAACUAUUUCAAUAAACAAGGAGGGUCUUGUUAUUUGUGUAACGAAGAAUUGUGUAAUUUUCAAGACUAGAGUACACAUUUACAUAGACAAUGGACAUGAACAGUUAAAAUUACUGAGAAUUAGAACAAGAAAUUGUGACCUUUAUUAUUAAUAAAAAUUGUGUGUAAAAUAAUGUUUUAUUUCGUGUAUUUGUCGAAAUCAGGAUUUGUUCCAGAUCAGUGUAACGUUUUUAAAUUAAGAAUCUUGUUGCAUAAUUAUGGUUAAGUAGGGCAUGUCACAAAAUUACAUAAAUUAUAAUUACCAAGUAUGCUUAAUACAGAACGGA
Long non-coding RNA from Tribolium madens (black flour beetle), 559 nucleotides. RefSeq lists it as uncharacterized. The record is from RefSeq and is a predicted model, not a curated record. NCBI's taxonomy places the organism in Eukaryota, Metazoa, Arthropoda, Insecta, Coleoptera, Tenebrionidae. The transcript has 3 exons.